Molecule: long non-coding RNA, 222 nt
Organism: Pan troglodytes (chimpanzee)
Lineage: Eukaryota; Metazoa; Chordata; Mammalia; Primates; Hominidae
Exons: 3
Source: RefSeq, a predicted model, not a curated record
GGUUCAAGAGGUACACGUGCAAUUUUCCACUUGGGCAAAUUGCAUGUCGUGGGGCUUUGGUGUACGGGACAUUUUGUCAUUUAGGAGAGGCUCAAAGAGUGAGAAAAAGACAAAUGCAAGAAUCUGGAUCCAAGAGUCCUGGCUAGCAGACGAGAUAAGGAUGGUGGAGUAUUAACACAUUGCAUUCGAAGCAGUGCAGUGGGAAGGGAAGGUAGAGAGAAG